This 63-nucleotide small nuclear RNA is filed under the name Capra hircus (goat). Lineage: Eukaryota; Metazoa; Chordata; Mammalia; Artiodactyla; Bovidae. The record is from RNAcentral.
GUGUUUGCUUUGACAGCACAUAUACUAAAAUUGGAAUGAUACAGAAAAGAUUAGCAUGGCCCC